GCUUAGAGGUUUUUUGCCCCUACCUCUCACUUUCUGCCCUUUGGCAGCUUAUUCUGAAAUGGCCCUUCUCUACAGUUGGGCUAAAAUUUCUGCAAAUGGCAAAAGGACAUUGAACAUUAGCAGAGCACCUACUUGGGGUCAAGUGUUUUGUGCCCUCCUAGGCUUUAACUUGUACCGCAUGAGUGGGACAGGUAAGUCACGGGUGAGAGCAAAACAAAAACCAGUGAUAGGGCUUGGGAAUUUCCAUUUUCUGGGACCCUCCUAGACCUCACAUUAUGUGUCUUUUCAUUUGGCUGGUCCUCAUUUAUACCCUUUAUAGUAAAACUGUAAUUAUAAAGAUAGGGCUUUCCUGAGUUAUAAGAGUUGUUCUACUAAAUUAUUGGGCCUGUCAAGGCCGUGGGAACUCCAGAAUUUGUAGCCAGUUUGUUAUAAGUGUGAAUAGCUCACUUGCAGCUAGCAUCUGAAGUAAGGGCAGUCCUGUUGGGCACUGUGCCCUUAACUUGUGGGGUCUGUGCUACCUCCAGACAGAAUUGUGCUGCACUGUCAUUCCUAUGACUUACUUUGACUAACAGAAUGUGGCAGAAGUGCUACCGUUUGAAUUUCAGAGCCCUGCAAUUCAUCCUUGCUCUCUUGGAACCCGAAGGCCACCAUGUUGUAAAGAAGUCCUUAAUAAAUACUUCAUGUAGAUGCCAGGCCAUACCAGUUGUCCAUGAACCCAGGCCCCAGGGAACCAGCCAGCUGCAUGAAUGAGCCCUGGAAAAACCAGCAGAACCACCUAACCAGCCCAAACAUUUGUGAGAAUAAAUUGCUAUUGUUUGAAGUAA
Leopardus geoffroyi (Geoffroy's cat) is the source of this 824-nucleotide long non-coding RNA. RefSeq lists it as uncharacterized. The transcript has 2 exons. The record is from RefSeq and is a predicted model, not a curated record. Lineage: Eukaryota; Metazoa; Chordata; Mammalia; Carnivora; Felidae.